AUACAGCUGACGAGUCCCAAGUAGAACGAAACGUGAGUACUGAAU
This 45-nucleotide non-coding RNA is filed under the name Schistosoma mansoni. The record is from RNAcentral. Lineage: Eukaryota; Metazoa; Platyhelminthes; Trematoda; Strigeidida; Schistosomatidae.